This 210-nucleotide unclassified non-coding RNA is filed under the name soil metagenome. Its description in RNAcentral is "partial contains 5.8S ribosomal RNA, internal transcribed spacer 2, and large subunit ribosomal RNA". The record is from RNAcentral.
AACCAUUCUCACCUGCGGCUAGACCUGCGGAAGGAUCAUUACCGAGUUAUACAACUCAUCAACCCCUGUGAACUUACCUACAACGUUGCUUCGGCGGGAACAGACGGCCCCGUAAAACGGGCCGCCCCCGCCAGAGGACCCCUAACUCUGUUUUUAUAAUGUUUUUCUGAGUAAACAAGCAAAUAAAUUAAAACUUUUAACAACGGAUCU